RNAcentral lists this long non-coding RNA (4532 nucleotides) under Pan troglodytes (chimpanzee). RNAcentral's name for it is "lincRNA". The record is from RNAcentral. Lineage: Eukaryota; Metazoa; Chordata; Mammalia; Primates; Hominidae.
AGUAUACAUGAAUUUGCUUCUGCCUUUGCCACCCCUGAGACAGCAAGACCAACAACCCCUUCUCUUCCUCUUCAGCCUACUCAGUGUGAAGAUGAUAAAAUGAGACAGUGGUGAUGUUUCAGAGAACCCAACUCAAACUGACUUGAACAAGAGAAAUCAAUGUUUACUGCAGAGAACACAGAAGCCAGCAAGCAGCAGGGAAGGGAGGCGAACCAACGCAGCAGCCCACCGGGACCGAGGAGGACACACGCAGAGCAAGUCACAGGAAGCGCAGCUGAAAACAAAUGGACGCUUAUCCCAAAUGCACAGGGCACUUACCAAGAACUGAUGGUCCGUCAAAGUAAAGCUCAACAGCUUUGGCUGGCAGGACAGUUAAACUUUUGGACGACAGAAAGUAACAGUGGGAAAUGGGACAACAUCUGCCAGCAACGCGAGAGGCCAAGACCAUGGCUGCUACAGAAAGGGUCAGCGUCACAGUACACGCGUGGCGGCGGUUGCACAUGCAUGCCUGGGGAAUGUGAGUGUUCAGACAUGCCAGGAGUCCAGCCUCACCAGGAAACAGGCACACGGGGACAGAGGCGCAAACACUGAAAACUCUCGCUGAAUCCACUCGGCUGAGCGGUGGUCACGAGAGCACGGCGCUGCGCUCCCCACAAAACUGCACCUGGGCCCCAGGGCGAGACAGGCGUGGAAGGUGCAGGGAUGUGGGUGGGAGCAGGGGCUCCCGGCUCAGAGCCGUAUCCAGGAACCCCCCUUCAGGCUGGAGCCCUGCCCUGAGCCCCCUGUGGAGAGACUGUGGAGAGCCCCCUGUGGAGAGGGUGACUGUGGGAGAGCAGCAUCAGGCCUAGUCUCGGCUGUGAAGUCCCCCCCACCUCCACGCAGGAUCCCGGGGAUUCUGUCAAGGUGGGGGCCGCCUGCUCAGCCCAGGCUCCCUGAACGUGUGGCUAGCUGGGUUUGCGGAAGAAACCAGGAGAGUGCCAACACCAGGCUUGCAAGCAAGAGGCUCCCUGACUGCCUGAUCCCGGAGCGCACCCCAUCCUCGCUGUGUUCCCUGGGCCUCAGCUGUUCCCCAGUGACCUUGGAGACACCCUGCCCCACUCUGGCUCCACAGGAGCCCCGCCCAUCACCGCCUCAGCUCUGAGUCUCCCCUGGGGACACAACCUUCCUCCUGGUGCAGAGGCGUAGGACGCUGCCCCUAAGGCCCAUCUUCCUCUGCAGCAUGUUUUGAUGUCAACUCAUUCACAGGAAAGAAACAAUCACAUCUCAGUGCCCAGAAUGGGGACCAAUAAGAGAGGUCACUGGGAAUAAAGCCCACAUGCACCCCAGGGUCCAUGGGCUCCCCAGAAACGCAGGUGGCCUCCGCCGGAGCCAACAAGCCUAAGUUGCUGAUCGGCCCCUCCCUGCUUCCCUGUGUGGAAGAGGAAACAGAGGCCCAGACUAGUAGGGCUCUGCAGUGGUGGCCGGCUGCGUCCCCAGACCUCUGGUCCCAGGGCUGGCUGGGAGUGCCCCUCCUUGUGCUCACUUCCUGCUCUCCUGGGAAAUGGCUUAGGGAUGGGGCGUGUGGGGACAGAUGCUGGCAUAGCUCACAAAAUGCUUGCACAAGGGACACUCCAUGGCAGGUCCCUGCAGCAGAGCAAAGUCACAACAUUCAGAGAUUCCCUGCACUCUGAGGCCCGCAGAGCCUGGCCGACCAAGCGAGGCUGGGAGGAUGGUGCCCGCUGGUCAGGGCGGCUGAGCAAGGCUGGGAGGAUGUUGCCUGCUGGUCAGGGCAGCCCUCUGAUCAGGGCGGCCGAGUGAGGCUGGGAGGAUGGUGCCUGCUGGUCAGGGCAGCUGAGCGUGGCUGGGAGGAUGGUGCCUGCUGGUCAGGGCAGCCCUCUGGUCAGGGUGGCCAAGCGAGGCAGGAAGGGAGGUACCCACUGGUCAGGGCAGCCGAACAAGGCUGGAAAGAUGGUGCCUGCUGGUCAGGGCGGCUGAAUGAGGCUGGGAGGAUGGUGUUUGCUGGUCAGGGCAGCUCAGGAGGUGCUGCCCAGGAGGUGCUGUCCAGGCAGAGCCUAGGGCUGGUGUGGGUGUGCCAUGCUCCUGAGAAGUUUCUGGGUUGUGGCUUUAAUGUUCUCCUGCAGUGAGAAUGCUGACACUUGGCCAAAGGGUCCUCACCUCUCCCCUAGUACACUUCUGAGAUGCCAGGAAGGUUCUGAACAUCAGAUUGAUUCCUGGGACUCCCCUCCAGGGUGGCCUUACUGGAGUCAGGAGCCCCUGCCCCACUAGGAUGGCUCUGCAGUGGCCUGAGGACAGUGAGCACUGGUCACUGGUGCAAAGUUGCCCACUGUGAUGGUUUUGACCUUUGAUGGGAACCAAGUGAAAGCCCUGCAGCUAUUUCUAGGCAUUUCAGAGGGUGCUUCCCUGCAUGUACUCCGCUGCAGACCAUCCUCCCUGGGCCAGGAGCCCGCCACACAGAAGGAGAUUCUUUUUCUUCUCUUUUGAGCACUUUUAUUCUCUUUUUCUUAAUCUCUGCUCCUCCUCUGAACUGAGAAAUGUGCAAAUCUUUUUUGUUAGUUUUGAGGUUGCUUCUUAUGCAUAUUUCAUCUGGAACUUUCCCCUUUGGGGGUGAUCUGUUCUAUCAGCCUGCCCGCUGCUAGAGAGGCCGAGGUGGUCCGGCCAGCCGUGCGCUGCUGCUGAUGUCUCUGUGGGCAUGACCUGGUGAGAUAUCAUUCUGCAUCUGGGGGUCCAUCCUAUCAGCCCAGUGUUCUAGAUUCCCCAGUGACUGACAUUUAGCUAGUCUCCUCUGUCACUCUCCAGUGACAUGUACACACUAUUGGCACGAACUGCAGAUGUCACGUUCUGUGGCUGAGAGCCUCAGUGUGCAUCUGUAGUAGGAGGAUGUCAGUGAGGACUGUCCUGUCGCUGCUGAGCUGGCACCGACUGUGCCUGGUCUACACUCCAGGUCUGCCAAACGACCCAGCAAGGUCCUUCACUACUCUUCUGAUCCAGGAUCACACAUCACUUGUGCUUUGAUGCCUGCUUCUGAACAAUUUUACCUCCUGAGAUGUCCAUUUUUGGGAGUGUGAGCCCUCCUCUCCUGGUGACAGCUGGCUGAGGCCGUCCAGCCUCAGGACACACAGGGAACGGCUGCAUAAGGAGAUCUGGGGCAGGGGGCCCACCAGGAUGUUCUGCCCUGUGGGGGGCAACACCGGCUGUGGUCUGCCGGCGGCAUCCAGGGACAGUCUAUCUAGGUGAGGCUGAGGCCGCCCCCGCUCGCUCCCUCACCCCCAUGCUGACAGCAGUGAGCUGACCACAGACUGGGGGAGCCCCACAGGGAGACUGGCCUCCCCAGCACAUGCCCCGCAGUGCCAGACGCGGUCAUCACAGAGGCAGGUACACGACACCACGGACGUGCCACGUACCCCCCAUCGGGACCAAGGACCGCUGAGAAACCAUGAAGGCCAUGCAGCGACUGUGGUGGCAGGACCGUCAGGAGGCCGUAGGUGCCACGGCUCCCCUCUGGUGGUUCACCUGCCCACCUGUACCUGGGGUGGCCCCUCCAGUGCGCUCCCCAGAGCAGAACACCCCCCAGGCAACACGUCUGAUGAAGGCCAACAGCGUGAGUCCUCUGGUGUUUGGUGACAUCAAAGCUGUGCCGAAAGGCCUUCCCUCACUGCUAACACUUGAAGGGCUUCUGUCCGGUGUGGACCCUCUGAUGGCGAAUGUGGUCUGUCUUAUGCUUAAAGAUCCACCUCCAUUAACUGCACUCUUAGGGUUUCUUCCUCUGAAAAGGAAUGAACACGGGAACCCCCUCAAAGGCAUUUUUAAAUGAAGCGUGGAAGGCAUCAAAGAUGUGCUCUUCUUCAGGACUCAGGCUUCUCCAUCGUUCUCUGUUCCUUGGAAGCGUGAGGGCUAAGGAGCUGCUGACUUCUCUCUCUUGGCCCCACUUCAAGAAAGGCUUGCUUCCCACACACCUCUCCACGCUCCCAGUGCGGGACUGACACUCUGCACCGGGAGGCCAAGGGCCACCAUCGUCUUGCUGGGAGAAGGUGUGACGUUUCUUGGUCAUAGGAGGGAGUGUGAUCUGACACCAGAGAACUUAAUAUAACAUUGCAGUGUUAACAUCUUCACUGGCAGAUUCACGGACUUUCCCCCUCCUGAAUGCAUUUCAACACCUUGAAAUGAACGAUGCCUCAUGUCUCUGCAGGGUGGACAUAGCUCUAACUCUCUGAAGCUGAUUAUAUGUCAAGUUCUGUGUGAAAUGAGAGACCAUGGGGAUUCAUUAUUGCUGGAGUUGAUGGUAUUGCAGUUUUAUAACCAUCUAAUAAAUUAGCAUUUAAUACUGAGAGAUUUCAUCUUAAACUCAGAGGAUUGCUUUGUUUUAAAGAAGAUUUUUGCAAGGAGAAGCAAUGGAAACCAUUCAGAAAAUGUGGGAGAUAAAAAUCCUAUUCAAGAAAACGGAUCUUGGAUCUUUGCAUUCACUUGAUUUGUCAGAAUAUUAUUCUGUGCUAAAAAAUAGAAGGGAUUAAAUGUUAAAAAUCACUGAGGCACAA